Molecule: ribosomal RNA, 852 nt
Filed under: Diplolaimelloides delyi
Lineage: Eukaryota; Metazoa; Nematoda; Chromadorea; Monhysterida; Monhysteridae
Description: SSU rRNA
Rfam family: Eukaryotic small subunit ribosomal RNA
Source: RNAcentral
CGAAUAGCUCAUUACAACAGCCGUUGUUUCUUGGAUCUCUUCUCUACUUGGAUAACUGUGGUAAUUCUAGAGCUAAUACAUGCAAUCAAGCUCCGAUCGUAAGUGACGAGCGCACUUAUUAGACCAAAGCCAUCCGGCCUCUGGCCGUUCUUUGGUGACUCUGAAUAACCUAGCAGAUCGCAUGGGCUUGUCCCGGCGACAAAUCUUUCAAGUGUCUGCCUUAUCAACUUUCGAUGGUAGUUUAUGUGACUACCAUGGUUGUGACGGGUAACGGAGGAUCAGGGUCUGACUCCGGAGAGGGAGCCUGAGAAACGGCUACCACUUCUAAGGAAGGCAGCAGGCGCGCAAAUUACCCAUUCUCAGAACGAGGAGGUAGUGACGAAAAAUACCAAGGUGAGGCUCAUUGAGUUUCGCCAUUGGAAUGAGAACAACCUAAAUCCUUUAACGAGGAUCUAGUGGAGGGCAAGUCUGGUGCCAGCAGCCGCGGUAAUUCCAGCUCCGCAAGUGUAUUCCUAUACUGUUGCGGUUAAAAAGCUCGUAGUUGGAUCUGAGUGUUUAGCGCUUGGUGCAGUUCUGCUGUUACUGAGUGCGGCACAUAAUCGCCAAUUGGUUGCCAUUGUUGCCUUAACUGGUGAUGGUGGUUGACUGUUGGCAUGUUUACUUUGAACAAAUCAGAGUGCUCAAUACGGGCGUUUCGCUUGUAUGGUCUUGCAUGGAAUAAUAGAAUAGGACCUUGGUUCUAUUUUGUUKKUUUUCGGAAUYGAGGUAAUGAUUAAGAGGGACAGACGGGGGCAUUCGUACUGCAACGUGAGAGGUGAAAUUCUUGGAUCGUUGCAAGACGAACUACUGCGA